GAGCAAACAGGAUUAGAUACCCUGGUAGUCCACGCCGUAAACGAUGAGUGCUAAGUGUUAGGGGGUUCCGCCCUUUAGUGCUGCAGCUAACGCAUUAAGCACUCCGCUGGGGAGUACGACCGCAAGGUUGAAACUCAAAGGAAUUGACGGGGGCCCGCACAAGCGGUGGAGCAUGUGGUUUAAUUCGAAGCAACGCGAAGAACCUUACCAGGUCUUGACAUCCUUUGACAACUCUAGAGAUAGAGCUUUCCCUUCGGGGACAAAGUGACAGGUGGUGCAUGGUUGUCGUCAGCUCGUGUCGUGAGAUGUUGGGUUAAGUCCCGCAACGAGCGCAACCCUUAUUGUUAGUUGCCAUCAUUCAGUUGGGCACUCUAGCGAAACUGCCGGUGACAAACCGGAGGAAGGUGGGGAUGACGUCAAAUCAUCAUGCCCCUUAUGACCUGGGCUACACACGUGCUACAAUGGACAGUACAAUGAGCAGCGACACGGCGACGUGAAGCGAAUCUCAUAAAGCUGUUCUCAGUUCGGAUUGUAGGCUGCAACUCGCCUACAUGAAGCCGGAAUCGCUAGUAAUCGCGGAUCAGCACGCCGCGGUGAAUACGUUCCCGGGCCUUGUACACACCGCCCGUCACACCACGAAAGUUUGUAACACCCAAAGUCGGUGAGGUAACCUUCGGGAGCCAGCCGCCUAAGGUGGGAUAGAUGAUUGGGGUGAAGUCGUAACAAGGUAACCA
This 734-nucleotide ribosomal RNA is filed under the name uncultured Vagococcus sp. Its description in RNAcentral is "bacterial SSU rRNA". It matches the Rfam family "Bacterial small subunit ribosomal RNA", at positions 766 to 1502 of the family's 1533-position model. Lineage: Bacteria; Bacillati; Bacillota; Bacilli; Lactobacillales; Enterococcaceae. The record is from RNAcentral.